Long non-coding RNA from Oncorhynchus tshawytscha (Chinook salmon), 1080 nucleotides. The record is from Ensembl. Lineage: Eukaryota; Metazoa; Chordata; Actinopteri; Salmoniformes; Salmonidae.
GCAUACACUACACGGACAAUAACAUUAAUCAGUUGACAUGAUUAACCUUCUGUGCAUUUGAGUAGUCGGUAUGAUCCCCUCUAGAGUUCAUUUAUACACCGUCUAUAAAAUAUUCAUAAAACACUUGUAAAAUGGUAUAAAACACAUGGUAAAUACUGGUAUGCUGCAGAGGGUUACCUGCCCUUAUGAGGUGACUGGUGAUGCAGAAGUGCCAAAGGAAAGUGCCUGUGUAUUUGCUCAAUAAACAGCAUGGCUUAGAUUAGAAGAACGCUGUGCCGUGUUUGUGUAUGAUGUACACAGAGGAACCAGGGUAAAUGCGACACACCGGAAGUAACGGAGCUGGGAAUGAACACGUGUGAAAUGGAACAUCAGAUAUAUUCACAAUAUUUUCAAAACAGUUUUUUUUCUCCGGAGCUUUUCAUUGACAGAAUACCGAAUUUUCUCAAUAAAAAUCCACCUGAAUCAAAGUAGUUCCAAAACAGACGAUGAAUAAGAAUGACCACCUCAAUGGACAAAGCAUGUAACAGGUCAUGUGUUGCUGUGGUAUUGUAUCUACUUUUUGAGCAACAAAUUGAAGUCCUCUCAUUAACCUGGCCUACUUUCAUAUUUAGGACCUUCUGCCCUUUAAUAAAUCACCAUUGGGCAUCUAUUUUCAGCAGCCUAAUGGUGCCUGAACCAACCUUACAGAUCAGCUACCUCCCGGAAUGAUGCAACACGGAAUGACUAUGAAUAUUGUGCGGUGGUGGCGUGUGCUACAUAAGCAGGGUUGUGUGUGUUGUAACGCAUAAAAACACAAUUGUGUGGUGAUUUAUCCUACAGUGUGCAGUGGUUUUCGUCUCUCCACUGCUAUAGAAUACUAUGGGUGAUGCUGUAGUGACAUGUCCAAUAGGAGCAGUGGUUUGAGUCCCUGGUUUGGGCUUCAGGUCCUACAGGGGGAGCAGUCAAAGACUGAAGGGGUUCUUUGCAUAAUAAAGUUUGAGUUCACAGGAGUCCCCCAAGAGUCACUGCCGGUGAGUGCCGCCAUGCUGCCGGUGAGUACCGCCAUUCUUUCUUGCGCUUCCCUUCAUGCUUAGACCCAUG